This 313-nucleotide long non-coding RNA is filed under the name Brassica rapa (field mustard). Its description in RNAcentral is "long non-coding RNA (BRAP_LNC002488)". Lineage: Eukaryota; Viridiplantae; Streptophyta; Magnoliopsida; Brassicales; Brassicaceae. The record is from RNAcentral.
UAAACCUUAAGAAGAAGAGGAACACGUCCAUCUAUGGGAGAAAACAUCCAACUCCAGAGCAUACGAAUUCAACAGCCGCCAAGGCUAUAUAUCACCCCGAGAAGACCUUAUCCUACGAGAGGUCGAUGACAGGCUGAUCCCGGUGAUUACUACCAUGAAGAUGACGUCCUAUGCUCUCUACAGCACGCCUACAACUCCACAUACUGGUCCAGGCCACGAUCUCCAGCACACCGACAGUGACACUCCAUGCUCAUCAAAGCAUAUCGAAGAUCUAUGCUCCCUGCAGCAUAUCUACUACUCCACCAUAUGUUCC